Long non-coding RNA from Equus quagga, 544 nucleotides. RefSeq lists it as uncharacterized. The transcript is spliced from 3 exons. NCBI's taxonomy places the organism in Eukaryota, Metazoa, Chordata, Mammalia, Perissodactyla, Equidae. The record is from RefSeq and is a predicted model, not a curated record.
CCUGACUUCUAUUUGUGGCUAGGCCACAGGGGGGCAGGGACCUUAUCCAAAAGGAAGAUCAGGCCGGAUGCAAUCACACAAGAGGCUUUUCACCCUCUUCCUGACCCCUAAAGUGUUCCUUCUAAUUCUCCUCCAGAGGAGGCGGUUAAAGGACACUGGGAGGGUAAACAGGCAGAAUGGGAUGGGCCCGCGCACGCCAUUUCCUCACCUCUAACACGGCAGCAGGAGCUUAGGACAGGAGGCUUCGGAGGAAGGCAGGCCCUCUUGCCUUCCCCCUCAAACGGGAGACAGAGGGGAAGAUGAGGGAAAAACCAAGCAAGUGGACACAAGAAAAGUGACCUCAGCAGAGACGGGCCAGACUGUGAGCUCCUUAAGGGCAAAGACAAUGAUUGUUCAAGUCUGUCUUCCCUGCACACAGCUUUGCGUUCUCGAGUCACUGCAGCUCAACUCUGCCAGCCCUGUGUUGGGCACUGGGGACAGAGAGAUGAAGAGGCACUGUCCACAACUUCAUGGAAACAGCUGAAAUGAAGGUGUGUGUUCAAGG